UUAUUUUAGCGGCGGACGGGUGAGUAACGUGUGGGUAACCUGCCUUUUACUGGGGAAUAAUCACUGGAAACGGUGACUAAUACCGCAUACGGGUUCUUGGAAGGCAUCUUCUAGGAAAGAAAGGAUUUAUUCGGUAAAAGAUGGGCCCGCAUCUGAUUAGCUAGUUGGUGAGAUAACAGCCCACCAAGGCGACGAUCAGUAGCCGACCUGAGAGGGUGACCGGCCACAUUGGGACUGAGACACGGCCCAAACUCCUACGGGAGGCAGCAG
RNAcentral lists this ribosomal RNA (270 nucleotides) under uncultured bacterium. Its description in RNAcentral is "partial 16S ribosomal RNA". It matches the Rfam family "Bacterial small subunit ribosomal RNA", at positions 87 to 354 of the family's 1533-position model. The record is from RNAcentral.